RNAcentral lists this small RNA (717 nucleotides) under Pan troglodytes (chimpanzee). RNAcentral describes it as "retained intron". Lineage: Eukaryota; Metazoa; Chordata; Mammalia; Primates; Hominidae. The record is from RNAcentral.
AUGCUGCUAGACAUUGGUCCCUGAGGAGUCAAGAGGGUGAUUCAGAGGAUGGAGAGGUGCUGUUUCCUGGGAAUGGGGGUGUCCUCUCAUCACCACAGCACCAUUGUCAGCUUACAAAACCCAUCUAGAUGCUGCACCCCAGUAUUUCCAGUCCCCCCAGUAAUGUCUUUUAUAUUAUUUUCCCUCCAGCACAGGAUGUGGUCUGGGAUCAGGUGUUGCACCUGCUUGUUGUGUGUCUGUCAUCUCUGUCAAUCAGGAACAUUUUCCACAGCCUUUCUGUCACUUUCAUGACAUUGAUGUUUUGAAGAACAGUGUCUUUUAAUAAGUAGACGUUUCCUCCUUUGGGGCGUGUCCAGGGACUCCUGUGAUAGGAUUCACUUGGGCACUCUUGGCUGGCGCCUGCCUGCAUGGGAUUGUGCUUCCUCAGGGCCUCACCUCACCAGGUGCGGAGCAACCCUCUGCCCCCACGUUGGGAUGUGAGGUUGCUGACUCAGUGCAGAGCUGUUUGGCUUCUCCCAACUUUGGUUACCACUCACGACUAAUAAACCAUCUGCAGGAAGCCCCUGGAAGACCAUGCGGAAAUCCUGCAUCUUGUGAUGUUUCCCCAGGACUUAGCCGUGUGAUGUUCUAAGGUGGUCUCUCACCAGCUCCUGGAGCUACUUCUGCAGAUCUCUUCCCAGCUCUGUGUUUAGUGACAUCAUGCGCAUCCCUGGAGUC